UAGGGAAUCUUCGGCAAUGGACGGAAGUCUGACCGAGCAACGCCGCGUGAGUGAAGAAGGUUUUCGGAUCGUAAAGCUCUGUUGUAAGAGAAGAACGAGUGUGAGAGUGGAAAGUUCACACUGUGACGGUAUCUUACCAGAAAGGGACGGCUAACUACGUGCCAGCAGCCGCGGUAAUACGUAGGUCCCGAGCGUUGUCCGGAUUUAUUGGGCGUAAAGCGAGCGCAGGCGGUUAGAUAAGUCUGAAGUUAAAGGCUGUGGCUUAACCAUAGUACGCUUUGGAAACUGUUUAACUUGAGUGCAGAAGGGGAGAGUGGAAUUCCAUGUGUAGCGGUGAAGUGCGUAGAUAUAUGGAGGAACACCGGUGGCGAAAGCGGCUCUCUGGUCUGUAACUGACGCUGAGGCUCGAAAGCGUGGGGAGCAAACAGGAUUAGAUACCCUGGUAGUCCACGCCGUAAACGAUGAGUGCUAGGUGUUGGGUCCUUUCCGGGACUCAGUGCCGCAGCUAACGCAUUAAGCACUCCGCCUGGGGAGUACGACCGCAAGGUUG
RNAcentral lists this ribosomal RNA (550 nucleotides) under uncultured bacterium. RNAcentral's name for it is "bacterial SSU rRNA". It matches the Rfam family "Bacterial small subunit ribosomal RNA", at positions 355 to 896 of the family's 1533-position model. The record is from RNAcentral.